This 367-nucleotide ribosomal RNA is filed under the name uncultured organism. Its description in RNAcentral is "bacterial LSU rRNA". It matches the Rfam family "Bacterial large subunit ribosomal RNA", at positions 2099 to 2465 of the family's 2925-position model. The record is from RNAcentral.
CUUUACUGUAGCUUGGAAUUGGGUUCGGGCUUUGCUUGCGCAGGAUAGGUGGGAGACUAUGAAGCUGCCCUUGUGGGGGCAGUGGAGUCAUCAGUGAGAUACCACUCUGUCAAGGCUAGAAUUCUAACCGUCUGCCGUUAUCCGGCGACGGAACAGUAUCAGGUGGGCAGUUUGACUGGGGCGGUCGCCUCCUAAAUGGUAACGGAGGCGCGCAAAGGUUCCCUCAGGCUGGUUGGAAAUCAGCCGAAGAGUGUAAAGGCAGAAGGGAGCUUGACUGCAAGAGCAACAACUCAAGCAGGGACGAAAGUCGGCCUUAGUGAUCCGACGGCGCUGAGUGGAAGGGCCGUCGCUCAACGGAUAAAAGUUA